Podarcis lilfordi (Lilford's wall lizard) is the source of this 66-nucleotide non-coding RNA. Lineage: Eukaryota; Metazoa; Chordata; Lepidosauria; Squamata; Lacertidae. The record is from the annotation of a GenBank genome assembly.
ACAGCCCAGUGGUAGAGCAUCUGUCUUGCAUACAGAAGGCUCCAGGCUCAGUCCCUGGCAUCUGCA